AAACCAAUAAACUGAAAUAGACUGUUUAAACUAAAAUAACAGCGAUAUCUAGAUAUAAUCCCACAACUAGUGUCACAAAUAUACGAGUGACUAGAGCACUACAAAUAAUAGUCUGAAUGAAAGCAUAACUGUCUGAAAUGAAAUAAACAACUAGAGUAAUGUAGAAGGGGACUUCAGGGCUGCGAACGCCGUGCAACUGUACCUCAAGUCUCCGUCAAGCAUCGGAUCAGAGCAAUCUACUAGCCGUCGUUAGGACCGACUCCAAAGUCUGCACAAGAAGUGCAGAGUGUAGUAUGAGUACAACUGACCCCAUGUACUCUGUAAGUGCCGAGCCUAACCUCGAUGAAAUAGUGACGAGACUAAGGCGGGUCACUUACAAUAACCUGUACACAGUAUAAUAAUAAUAAUAGGAAAGGAAAAUAGGAAAAGUAAGGCAGUUAACUUAUGAAAAAGAACUCAAUCCUUGUAAUAAGAGAAUCCGGGAUAAUCGAUCUCAUAAUUUUAUGUAACAACACUGAAAAUCAACACAAUAAUAACAAUGAAUACAACUGAAUACAACACACACAAUUCGUUGCGACACGCAACCCGAUCCCACCGUACAACACAUAAUCCUCCCUUAUUUCACCAUGUCAAUUUCAAGAGUCACAUAUAAAAUCCGUUGUGGCGCGCAACCUGAUCCUACCAUAUAAUCAGAAUCAAUAUCAUAAUCCUCCCUUAUUUUACCAUAUCACAGUUUAUCAAUAUCAAGUAUACGUACACAACUGUUACAGCGCGCAACCCAAUCCACCAUAUCAAUAUCAAGUUCCUCCCUUAUUUCACUAUAUCACAACCGUUGCGGCGUGCAACCCGAUCCAUAAACAAAUUCAAUAAAUGAAAUCAACCCAACAACUCAAUUUAUAAGAAUCUCUACGAUUAAGGAUUAUGAAAGCAAAACAAUAAAGGAACCACGUACUAAUCAAAGGAAGGCUACAAAUAAUACAAGAGCAACAAAACAAGCUAAUUAUGUAACAGUUAAAGUGUACAAGUAAGACAAUUAAGGCAAAUAGCAAUUAAUCAUGGAGUCAUGGAAGGAACGAAUAUUUCAAUACAAGAAUAAUUAAUGACAAGUAACAAGUUACGACAUGGAAAACAAUUAAAGCAUGUAACAGUUAAGACAUGAUAUAAGAUAAUUCAUGAAAUAGGAGAAAGCAUGGAAACAAUUAUUUUGACGGCGUAUAUACACUCGUCACCUCGCAUAUAUGCCGUUACAUACGUAAUUCACAUAACAUAUAAUUCAAGGGUUCCUAAUUCCCUCAAAUCAAGGUUAGACCCAACACUUACCUCGUUCCGCAAUCAAAUCAAAGCUCAACUAGGGCCUUUUCUCUAAAAUUCAUUUCCAAACCAAUCGAAUCUAAUCAAAAUCGACUCAAUAUCAUCAAACAAUGCUAGAAAAAUUAAUUACAAUAGAUAAAGCAAAGAUCUUUACACAUUUUCCAAAAAGUUAAUAAAAGUCAACCCCGAGCCCGCUUGGUCAAAAUCCGAGAUUCUGACCAAAGCUCAAUUAUCCAUUCACCCCCACUCCGAUUAUGUCAUUAGUUUCGAAACCCGGCCUCAAUUUGAGGUAUAAAUCACAAUUUUAUAUUAAAACCUCAAUUCUACCCAAAUCCCUAAUUUUCUACCAUGAAAGAGCAUAAAUUAAGGUUAAAAGUCAAUGGGUGUUGAUGAAAAUGGAAGAAAACGAGUUAAAGUAUACUAACCUACGAAGUGGGGAUGACUUUCUUCUUCAAAAUCGCUUCUAGGCCGAGCUCCAACGGAAGAUGGUGAAAAAUGAAAGGAAGUCUGUCUUUGGAACAUUUAAGUCACUAGGCGUCAGGCCUUCUUCGCGUUCGUGAAGGGCCUGACGCGAUUGCAAAGGGCAGCGGCCCAAGUGGCAUUCGCGUUCGCGAGAAACGCUACGCGUUCGUGAUUGCCUCUCCCUCCUGGCCUUCGCGUUCGCAAGUCUGGGCUCGCGUUCGUUUAGAGUUACUGGCCAACUCCCCCCAGAAUCGCAUAAACCUUCGCGUUCGUGAGAGGGUGGUCGCGUUCGCGAAGGGUAAGCCCCCCAAUGCUUCGCGUUCGUGACCGGUCCCCGCGUUCACGUAGAAAACCACCCCAGCCCCAAGUUCCCCUUCGCGAUCACGAAGCACAGCGCCCCAGAUAUCAGAAAUCUCAUAAACCAGCAAUUGCCUAAGUCUAAAAUCGAUCUGCAGCCUAUCUAAAACUCACCUGAGUCUCUCGGGCUCCAAACCAAAUAUGUAAAUAGGUGUAAUAACAUCAUACGAACUUGCUUACAUGAUCAUAACACCAAAAUUAUGCCUAGAACUACGAAUCAGACAUCAAAAUGAAUGAUAUUUUCAAAGAAACUCAAGAACAUGCAAAUUUACAACUGGACGUCUGAAUAGUGCAAAUCAACUCUGUUUUGAACCAAAUUUUGCAGACAAGUCAUAAAUAGUGAAAUGGACCUAUAUCAAGUUCCGGAACUGGAUCCGAACCCGGUAGUAACAAAGUCAACCUAUGAUCAAACUUAGAAAUUCUUUUAGCCUUCAAAUUACUAGUUUUCAACAAAUUAUGGUAAAUCAAGGUAGGGAGUUGCGAAUUCGAUUCUGGGCAUACGCCUAAGUCCCAAAAUACGAUACGGACCCACUGACACCGUCAAAAUAUAGAUCCGAAUUCAUUUAUAUAAAAUGUUGAUCGUAGUUAACUCAAAUUAGUUUUAAGGCAAAGUUUUACAUUUUCUUAGAUUUUCCACAUAAAACUUUUCGGAACAAGACACGGACAACGCACGUAAAUUGAGAAAUACUAAACGGAGCUAGUCGAGGUCUCAGAAUAUAGAAAGAAAGGAUAAAACUCAAAAUAACCUAUCGGGUUAUCAACUGAAGCUUUAGGAGUCCUAUCAAAUAAGAAGUUGAAUGUGCAUAGGACUCCCAAAGAUCUUAGAGUACUAGGAAGUUAAAUAUUUUCCUGAUGGACUAAGGACAUCAUCCUUUUGCACGUGAGCUGUGGAAAAACAUUCUCAACACUCAAGUCGAUUACUAGUCUUAGUGUUCUUCUUCAAUCUGUUAGAUUAUAUGUAUUAGGAAAUCUAGUUGUAAUCAAGAUGUCAUUCAUAAUCUGUUAGUUAGAGUAAGUGUUUGAGUGUGCAAGUUAGAGUAACUUGUAAUUCAUUCAAAUAGUUGAAGUAGGAGAAUUCUGGGGGUAUUGAUUUACAAGUCUUGUAAUCAGUACAUUUGGCUCAUUUGUUCUAGUGAAGUUGAAGUUAAAAUCCUACGUGGUAGAUCGUGAUUUUUGCAACUUUGAACCGAGUGAUUUUCCACGCAAAAAAUUGUUGUCCUUGUUUUUGCUGCUUAUUCUAUUUACGCUUAAGGAGUAAGAUAAAGAACCAAGUUCUUUAGUAAUUUAGGAAGGCACUCAAACUAACAAAAAUGCAAUUUCAAGCUAAGAUGGUCACAAAAAGAUUUUACGGUAAACAAGGAUCUCUUCCUCUCUCUUCUGACAUCGCUCCUACACCAAAAACAACAAAUAAAAGUUUAAAACAAACCUUCUUGUAAUUGGAUACAAAACCGAAACCAAAAAGGAAUCAGAAAUUAAACCCAAACUAACUGCAAAGAAAUUCGAAAAUGAUCAUUAGCACAUUUGGCUGGAAAGUGAGUGUGGUCCCAAUAGGGUAACAGUUAUCAUCAAGAAAGAAAAAUAAAAGUGAGAAUUUGUUCGAUCAAACAUGGUUCAACUCCCACGUGGGACACCUGGGAUCAUACUCACUUUCCAGCCAGAGCUCCUUAGUCAGAGCUCGUCGCAUCGGGAUUGCCUAGUAUGGUUUAUAUCUUCUGUGUGGUUUGCGAGCUAUUGCACAUUGAGCAGGUUACCGAGUGUGUACCCGAAGAGUAGCGACUGCGGAUUUCUCUGGGAAUUUUCCAAAAAGAAAAAUACAUGGUUCACCUCUACCUUUAUGUAAAAUCACGAGGUCUUGUUGAUUUGAAUGGAAAGAUAGAACUCCUUCAUUUCCAAUUUACGUGCCACAGUAUUCUUUUUAGUACAUCCCAAACGAAUGAUAUUUUGUAUAUUUAGAAAAAUUAAACUACGACUUAUCUUAGACAAAUUUUAAGAAAGAUUUAUUCUUUUCUAAACUCCGUAUUUGGUCAAACAAAGCCGGAGUAUAACAUUGUUGAUCACUUUUGGAACAUACAAAUUAGUGCGAAAAUGCCUUUGUAUAAAGAGUUCUACGCCGUUUUCCUUUCUUUUGAAAUUUAGGUCACUAACUGCAGGAAAGCUUGGUGGACUUUUUCAGUGGGGUUGUUCUUAUUUUUUUGUGUCAAAAUUGAGCAAUUAUUAGGUUAACAAAAAGAAAAUUGAAGGGGAGAAACGAGUUCUCAGAGGGAAUAAGGCUAAUCUGCAGGGGAGAAAAUAUGGAGAUCUGGUUCUGAGGGAGAACUUCAAUUCUAAGUUUGUCAUUAUCAACAAGGGGGAAAUUGAUAAGUUAUGUGCCGUUUUAUUUUGAUGAUUUAACAAACUUUAUAUGAGAACCAGAUAGGAAAUCUAAUACAAAGCCUCUUCGUGCUCAUAACAACAAGUCACAUGGCUGGCACAAGUUCCAAUGAAAUCAGUUAAGGGAAUGGCAGAGGAAACAGAUGGCUAUCAGUUCAUCCGAUCAUAGUACAAGUUAACUCUUUACAGUUGUUAAAGCUGCUGUACUGCAGAUGCAAUAGUGUAGCGAUCACUGUUGAAGCAUGCUGUGUACCGGACACUUUCUUGCAUCAUUCUAGUGACCUCACUUAUAUUUUAGCAAUAUGAGGCAAUGGAUUAGAUACACUUGCAAACCCUAAAACAUAAUUUACUCUCAAGUGUUCAGCUGCCUUCAUUUACUCCAAGGCAUUGAAGAACAAAGUAGCAAUAGAACGAAGGACCAGAAACCAGCAUUGAGUACAUUGUGUGUGCUUAGUAUUUUUGUAUCUUUGUUAAUGUUAUUAACUUGUAAACUCUUACUCAUCUUAUUUAGAAGCAUUUCAUAGGAUACCUUUGUAUAUCAUAAAUCGUGUGUUUGUGUUUGACUAGAGUUAGUCAAAGUGGUUAGCUUUGUAAUAGAGUUAUUAUAAAGAGGCUUGCAAUAUAGUUAUUGGAAGUAGGUGAGGGAUUAAGAAUUUAAUUCCUAGGUUACAAUAGGUUGUAAUCUAAAGUUGUUCGGUUAGUGAAGUUGAAAUCUUACGAGUGUAAGUUGUGAUUUUUAAUCCCGUGAGCUAAGAGUUUUCCAAGUAAAAUAGAGCUCCAAAAAAGACUUGACUUCAGAGCGGGGAAUCUUCCUAAUUGUUGUAUUAUUUACUUUCCACUCUCUAUGUGUGUUUUGUGGAAACUGAUAGAGAACCAGGUUCUUUAUACAGUUUGGUGGACUCUUAGUUUACAUCAAUUUGUAUCAGAGCAGGUUCUUUCUAUAAGGCUAACACCUAGAAAGGAUCUACAUGGCUGCUCCACCAAAUUUUGAAGGUCAAUCAAUCUACAUACCACCAAGAUUCAAUGGACAAUACUAUGGAUGGUGGAAAACAAGAAUGCAUGAUUUUAUCAUGGCUGAAGAUUCGGAGCUCUAGGAUGUCAUCUAUGAUGGACCCUUUGUCCCUAUGAAGACCAUUGGCGAGACUGCUGUCCAAAUUCCAAAGACAAGGAAAGAGUACAAUGAUACUGAUCGCAAAGCCAUCGAGAAAACAUUUCGAGCAAAGAAGAUCCUCGUCUGUGGUAUUGGAGCAGAUGAGUACAACCGAAUCUCAGCAUGUCAAUUUGCCAAGGAGAUAUGUGAGGCUCUCCAAAAUGCACAUGAAUGUACCACUCAAGUCAAGUAGUGAAAAAUCGACAUGCUCACUACUAAGUAUGAACUCUUCAAGAUGAAGGAGGAUAAGUCCAUCUAGGACAUGCAUACUCGUUUCACUUCCAUCAUCAAUGAGCUUCAUUCUCUAGGAGAGAUUAUCCCAAGGAACAAACUGGUCAGAAAAAUACUUAGUGUGCUACCUGGUUCCUGGGAGAGCAAAGUCAAUGUUAUCACAGAGGCAAAAGAUCUGCAAAAGCUGAGGAUUGAUGAACUUAUUGGAAAUCUAAAGACCUGCAAAAUGAAGAAUAAGAAGAAGGAUCAUUAAAGAAGAGAACCCAAAAAAGAGAACAAGCUGGUUCUCAAAGCAGACAACGGUGACUCAAGUGGUGAUGAUGCUGACAUGGCCUAUUUGACACGGAGGUUUCAAAAAAUGGUUGGUAGAAAUGGAGGUAUUCUGAAAAAGGGCAGCUCUAGCAGAACAAAAGUCUAUGAUUGUUGUCACAAAUGCAAAAAGCCAAGACAUUUCAUCAAAUAUUGUCCUCUCCACAAGCAAGACCAUUACAAGCACAACACAGAUAAGAAGGCCAAGAGGAACUUGGUCCCCGACAGGAAAUUCAAGAGAAAAGAUGCCACUGAUAAUAUUUUGAAACAAGCUCUUGCUAUAUGGGGAGAUUCUUCUAGUGAAUCUGAGGACGAUGAUGGGAAAAGAGACACUUCCAUGAUGGCCACUGAAAGCGAAGCAGCAGAAUAUGACUCCAUAUUUGCCUUGAUGGAAAAAUAUGAUGAGUAUGAAGAUGAUGAUGAUGACGAGGUAAACUUUCUAAAUGUUCAACGAAAUUUGAAGUCUUAUUCUCAAAAAAAGUUGAUAUUUUUAGCUAACGUCUUGAUUGAUGGUUACCAUAAUCUUAUUAAUGAUAAAAAUGUUUUAACUGAGCAAAUAGGAGAGGUAGAGCAUGAGAAAGAUGAUUUACUGGUCGUAGUUGUUGAUUUGAAAGAAACCAUAGAGGAUUUAAAGCAAGAAAAAGAUAUUCUAAUUGAGAAAAUUAAAAGGGUAGAACAUGAGAGAGAUGACUUUCUGGUAGUAUUUGUGGAUCUAAAGGAAACAGUAGAGGAGUUAAAAAGGGACAAUAAUUCUGGAAAAACAUCAAUAGAAAAUUGCAUGAACUCUUCAAAAGGAAAGGAAGUGGCAAGUGAGGCACACCUUAAGCUUGAAAAUGAACUCACAAAGGCAAGAUUGAGUCUUUGUGCUCGACUUGAAAGAAAUAGAAAACUUCAGGAAGAUCUAAGCAGGGUUAAAAAUGACCUAGAUAAAUCUCUGAAGUGGACUUAGUCCUCUGACACAAUCACUUUCAUAUAUAAAAGUAAUUUGGGGUGGGGUGGGUAGGGGAACCGGUAGGGAAUCGGGUUCCAAAAGAAAAAGGCUCCCUACAAACCACAUAGCAAGUAUGCUACUGUACCUGAUAACUGGCUUUGCACUCAUUGUGGUAAAACUGACCAUUUCAAAGAUUCUUGUAAAGCAAGGUUUCAGUCUCAACAGAAAAAUAAAGUUUUUGUUGAAAACGUAUCUACUGCUAAGGAACCCGAUUCUCUAAAAAAGAAACAUGUGAUGCCUGCUGGGACAAAAAGAAGUUUAAUUCGCCCCUUUUCUUAUUACAAAGGACCCAAACUUGUUUGGGUUCCUAAGUCUAACCUCUGAUUUUCUUGUGCAUGCAAUAAUGAAAGGAAGCUGCCAAAGAUGGUACAUGGAUAGUUGCUGCUCUAAACACAUGACUGGAAGUACUGAUGAUUUCCUUUCACUCAAAGCCCUGCAAGGUGGGAGUGUGUCCUUUGGUAAUGGCAAAAAGGGAUACAUUCUGGGAGUUGAAAAAAUUGGGAAUACACUCGCUCAUUCAAGAUGAAUGGCUUGAAAUAUAGCCUACUAAGUGUCUCUCAAAUUUGCGACAAAGGACAAGGUGGAGUUUUAUCAAAGUCUUGCACCGUUACCAAUCUUGUAACUGGUGAAGUGGUUCUGGUGGCAAAAUAAUUCAAAAACAUCUAUGUUGUAGACUUUGAGUGUUUGAAUUGUGGCACGAAAGAUUGGGACAUGUAAGUUUCUCUCUGUUAAACAAGCUAGUCAAGAAGGACCUUGUUCACGGGCUUCUGAAGUCAAAGUUUAAGGAUCACAAGGUGUGUAAUGCAUGUGUGAAAUGGAAGCAAGCCAGGUCCUCAUUCAAGCCAGAGAAGGAAGUAAGCACCUCAAGGCCACUGGAUCUUUGUUAUUGUUGAUAUUAUUCCAGAUUCACAUGGACCUUGUUCCUCAGAACCAAGGAUGAAACCUUUCCAGUCUUUGCUGCCUUUGUGCAGUAGAUUCAAGUAAAGAUGAGCCAUAAUGUUGUAAGCAUAAGAUCUUAUCAUGGUACCGAGUUUGACAAUGCAAAAUUUGAUGAAUUUUAUGUUGAAAAUGGUAUAAGUCAUAAUUUUUCAUCUCCUAAAAUACCCCAACAAAAUGAUUUUGUGGAGAGAAAAAAUAGGACACUUGAAGACAUGGCAAGGACGAUGCUAAUUGACAAUGGCGUACCAAAGAGCUUUCAGGCUGAGGCAUUGAACACUGUCUGCUAUCUGAUAAACAGGUGCAUGAUCAGGUCCCUCCUAAAUAACACCCCGUAUGAAUUGCUAAACGGGAGAAAACCAAAGAUGACUUACCUAAGAACAUUUGGUUUCAAAUGUUUUGUUCUUAAUAAUGGUAAGGAAGCGUUGGGAAAAUUUUCCAGGUUCUUUUUGGAAAAUGGUUUCACUAGAGGAAAAUUGAAAACACUCUUUUUCUGAAGAAAAGAGGGAGGAACCUGCUAAUUGUGCAGGUGUAUGUUGACGACAUCAUCUUUGGUGUAACAAAUGAUUCUUUGUGUGAGGAGUUUUCCAAGCUUAUGGGAAGCGAGUUUGAGAUGAGUAUGAUGGAAGAACUGAACUUCAUCCUAGGACUGCAAGUGAAGAAAACCUCUAAGGGAACGAUGAUAAGUCAGCAGAAAUACAUUUAGGAGCUUCUGACGAGGUUUGAGAUGGAAAGUUCAAAGACCAUUGAUACUCUCAUUGCUACUGCCACCCAUCUAGACUUGGACCAACCAGGUUCCCCUGUAAAUAAAACCAUGUAUCGGGGCAUCAUUGAUUCACUUUUGUACCUAACAGCCAGCAGACCUGACAUUAUGUUCAGUGUGGGGUUAUGUGCUAGAUUUCAAUCAAGUCCUAAAGAAAUCUCACUUGAAAGAUGCUAAGAGAAUCCUGAGAUAUCUCAAAGGAACGCAGGACUUGGUCCUCUAUUAUCCCUCAGGGGAUAAUUUUGACAUAAUUGGGUAUGCUGAUGUUGAUUAUGAUGGCUAUAUGGUGGAUAGGAAGAACACAUCUGGUAUGGCACAUUUUCUGGAAUCAUGCUUAAUUUCAUGGGGUACAAAGAAACAAAAUUCUGUAGCCCUCUCGACUGCAGAAGCAGAAGAUAUAGCAGCUGCCUCAUCAACGCUCAACUACUGUGGAUCAAGCAAUAAUUUAAAAUAUUUGGUGUGUUCUCCGACUGUGUGCCACUGUUGUAUGACUACACAAGUGCCCUCAAUAUGGCAAAGAACCCGGUUCAUCAUAAGAGGACAAAGCACAUUGAUGUGUGAUAUCAUUUCCUCAGGGACAAUGUUAAAAAGGGUCUCAUCUGUAUGAAGUUUUUCAAAACAAAGGACGAAGUAGCUGAUAUCUUCACCAAAGCAUUGAGCAGAGAGCAUUUUGAAAAGAAUCGAAUGGAGCUACGAUUAAUCAAAUUGAACUGAGAAUUUGAUCCCUCAAUGACUAGCUAUGAUAGGAUGGUAAGGUGAAAUGCUAAAAAGUAUUUUCUGGAAACUUUUAACUCAAUUCUAUACUGUUACAGGUAAACACGCAUGGAAAUUACAGGGCAAAUAAGCAUCUAAUGACAUUGCAAUUUGUUAGAAGGUCAUAUUUGUAAAAUCAGUCAGGGAACCUGGUUCCCAUGACACUGAUUAGUAGUUCCUCUUACACUCAUACGCAUUUUGAACUGCUAGUGUGCCACCUCAUUAAGUGUGUCCUCCCUUUUCCCAUAUCUUUUAAACCCAAACGUCACACCCAUUACAAACCGACCUGACUACCCAGUCCAUCGCGUCCAUCUAUAAUCUGUCCCUCUUUCCCUCUAAAUAACCCCAAAAGGCAUGUCUCUCUCAUAAUUAUUUACAUCAAAGCCAUCAAACUCUCUUUUUCUCUCUGAAAACCUUCUCUUUCGUGUCUUCACUCUCAACUAUUCACCAUGUCUUCUCAGAAAUCAGAGUCUCCAAAAGCCACCAUUUAAAUCCCUACCGUGUCUUUAUCUCACGAAGCACAACCAUCAGAAUUGGAGCCUCAAUAUUCACCUAUUAAAAACCCUUCUCCAACCAACCACCACCCACUGUCUCUUCUCCUACUCCAUCAAGUUCUUGUUCCUAUCGUAGCCGGAAAAACCAAACUCCUAAGAAGUUUGUCGCUUCAACCUCCCCCUCUGCUAGCAUUGAAAAAAUGGAAGUAGAAGGACUGGUGGAAGGGGAAGAAGGUACAGAGGUCUCAAGUCAGCGGGUUGAGGAAUAAAGUGUGGACCAAGUUGUUGUCACUGGACUUGGUGAAGAAUCGGGUACAUCUGAAACCCCCUCUGCUCAGAAUUUUGAUCUAAACACCUUGUCACCAUCAGGUAAUACCUCUCUAGCUCCUAGUGAUCCUACGUUGUUGGAAGAUUUGGUUGAGAAAGAAGCUAUAGAAAAUAUAUUGUGUAUUGCUGCUGAAGGGAAUCUGGUUGGGGGGUCUGUGUUUGAUGAUGUGAGUGUUGGGGCUCAGAGGAAGAAAAAGGGAACGGGGAUAGAAAUAGGGACCGGGUGCCUCAAGGUGACUUGGUACUAGUUACUACUACAUGGGAGCCAACAGAGGGACCUUCUUCCUCUGUCCAAGAGGAGUACUCUGCUCCUACUUUGGAUGAAACUCAAUGCUCCACUAGAAAGCCCAUGGACAAUACUGACCCUCCUUCCCCCCUCACCUUGAUGCAGUCCCUUUAGAUUUUGUGAUUCCUAAGAAGAAGAAGAAGAAGAAGAAGAAGAAGAAGAGGAAGAAGAUGAUGAUGAUGAUGAUGAUGAUGAUGAUGAUGAUGAUAAUGAUGAAAGUGAGGAUGAUUAUGACAAUGUGCCUGUAGCCCAGUUCAUCACUACUAGGAGUGGUGGGACAACUUCAAAAGAGCCUGUUCUUAAAAGACCCACCACUAGGCAGCAGAAGAAAGUUUCCCUUGAAAAAAGGAGAAUAAGGAGAAAAAGAAAAGAAGAUUGGUGAAGGCAGGUAAAUUAGUUAAUGAGGAGGAUCUGCCUCCGACCAAUAUUGUGGAAGUUGAGGACGAAGAGGUGAAUGAGGAACCUGAUUUCCUUGUUUGUAAAUCCUCUAAAAAGACUGUGCUUGUGAAAUCCAAGAAAGCGUCAUCUCUGAAGGGUGUUGAAAUUGGUGGUGAGAAGAGUGUUGAGAAUAAGGAGUCUGUUGAGAAGGUGAAGCCUACUAGGAAGGAGAAAGGUAUUGAGAAGAAAAAAUCUCACAAGAGAAAUCCAAGUAACAGUGAGGGGCCUGGUUCCUCAAAAAGAGCGAGAGUGGAAGUGUCUGAGAGUGAGAGGAAAGAAAAGCUCAAGAAGCAAAAAAUAUUGUGGGGCAGAGUAUUUGAUACUGACAUUCUUGACAAGUUAGGUAUGAGGCAGUUAGUUGAAAUUUGUGAAUUUCAGAAGUGGACUCAUCUGUUUACUCUUUAGAGUCCAAAAGUCUAUGAAAAGGAAGUUCGCAGUUUCUAUGCUGAUCUGUUCACUGUGUAGGAUGACAACAUCUGCCUGAAGGUCAAUGGGGUAGAUUUUGUGAUGGAUGAAGCUGUACUGGGAAGCAUUCUUGAUGUGCCUGCGGAGGGGUUCUCGACUGUUAAGGGAACAUGUUCCCCAAGUUUUAGGAAGGUUAUUCUAAAGCCUCAGGCUGUUCAACAAGGGGAACGGGUGCAUAAAAAGGCACUGCUCCUAGAAUACCAAUUCAUGUUUGAGAUGGUGAACAAGGUCCUUCUCCCUCGAGCUAAAAGAUGAUCCAUUGCAUCAAUAACGGACUUGGUUCUCGUGGAGGCACUGGACGGAUAUACUGCUAUCAACCUGCCCGGGAUCCUGAUUGAACACAUAAAGAAGAUUGCAGACUUCAAGGAUGGGAACCAUGGGUUUCCAUAUGGUUCCUGCUAACCAACGUUUUUGAACAUUUCAAAGUCCCUUGGGGAGAGCAGCUGUGAGAACUCGUAAGCAAAUGUUCUCAAUAACUACCUUAGAGUAAUGCGAGUGUAUUGAUAAGAAGUGGGAGUUGGCAGCAGUUCUACAAUUUCUCAGUUGAUUGAUGCUAGAGUGCUGCCAAUGAGGAGAUAAGAAGGCUGAAGGAUUAGAAUGCCAUUCUUGAGGGAAAGCUCAGUUAAGCCCGAGAGGAACCUGGUUCUAGCAGUGCUCAGGGUGCAGAGGUUGCCCGCUUGACAGCUGAGAAUGCAGAGCUAAGGAAACAGGCUGAGAAACGGGUUCUCAGGGGGAAUAUGGCUAAUCUGCAGGGGGAACAAUAUGGAGAUCUGGUUCUCAGGGGGAACUUCAAUUCUAAGUUUGUCAUCAUCAAAAAGGAGGAAAUUGAUAAGUUAAGUGCCUUUUUAUUUUGAUGAUUUAAUAAACUUUAUAUGAGAACCAGAUAGAGAGCAUGAUACAAAGCCUCUUCGUGCUCAGAACUACAUGUCACAUGUCUGGCAUAAGUUUCAAUGAAAUCAGUUAAGGGAACGGUAGAGGGAACAAAUGGCUAUCAGUUCCUGCGAUUACAGUACAAGUCUACUCUUUACAACUGUUAAAGCCGCUGCACUACAGACACAACAGUGCAUCAAUAACUGUUGAAGUAUGAUGUGUACCGGACACUUACUUGAAUCAUCCUAGUGACCUUACUUAUAUAUUAGCAACAUGAGGCAAUAGAUUAGAUACACUUGCAAACCCUAAAACACAAUUUACUCUCAAGUGUGCAGCCGCCUUUAUAUACUCCAAGGCAUUGAAGAAUAAAGUAGCAACAGAACGAAGGACCAGAUCCCAACAUUGAGUACAUUGUAUGUCCUUAGUAUUGUUGUAUGUUUGUUAAUGUUAUUAACUUGUAAUUCCUAUUCAGCUUAUUUAGAAGCAUCUGUAGGAUACCUUUGUAAACCAUAAAUCAUGUGUUUGUAUUUUACUAGAGUUAGUCAAAGUGGUUAGCCUUGUAAUAGAGUUAUUACAAAGAGGCUUGCAAUAUAGUUAUUGCAAGUAGGUGAGGGAUUAAGUGCUUAAUUCCUAGGUUAGAAUAGGUUGUAAUCUAAAGUUGCUCGGUCAGUGAAGUUGAAAUCCUACGAGUGUAGGUCGUGGUUUUUAAUCCCGUGAGUUGAGAGUUUUCCACGUAAAAAAUAUUGUUGUGUUAUUUACCUUCCACUGUGUGUGUUCUGUGUGAACUGAUAGAGAACCAGGUUCUCUAUACAGAUUGGUGGACUCUUAGUUUACAUCAAAUAUGUUACCAAUCCGCGACGUUUAUGCAACAUAACAAUUGGUUGUCUCAUAGAAUAUUUUGCUACUCAAUUCUAGUCCUUGCAAAUAUCUUUUAUCUUAUUUCUCCUACCUUAUUCCAUUGUUAAAUGGGAUAAAGAACAUUCAUUAAUGAACAUUCAUUACGAUCUCCCCAUACUUGUCUAAAAUUAGUUUUGAAUCUAAAGCAAAAUGACUUCCAUUGACUGCAUUCCGGAAAAUAGUCAAUCUAAGAAGGAUAGAAGCAACAAUAUGAAAGAAACAGAGAACUAGCCACCCUUAUUUUAUUUUAUUAUCAGCAAGGUGGGUAGAACUUACACAUAUGAUAGAAAAAUGUUCUAGAGGGUCAGUACUUCAGAAAUACCUUAGCAGUGAUGAACUCGGAGAAAGUUCAACAUGUCAGAAGUCUAGUGAUUUAUUCUUCACUAUUCUAAAUUGAUGCAAGGAUAUGUAAGGGAUACCUGAGUCCUGAGAGCUGACGAUAAAGUGAAGCGGGAGACAGUUGUUGCUCUCAAGAUCAGCUAUGCUCAAUUUCAAAGUCCAGUUGUACGUUGUAUAUUAGUUGUCGUAGCAAUGGCUCGCUGUUCUGAAUUUGUGCAACUUAGCAAUUGCUCUUUAGUAUUUUGAGUUCAUCCCUAUUUAGUUCUACUUAGUCUUUGCCUUUCUUUUAUCUUCUUUUUCAACUUGUAUGCAACAUAAUGUCACUUUUUUGUGUGCUCAAAACGAUUUUUAACUCAAAAAGUAAGAUGCGUAUUAACUCUUUGAAGCCAAACAAUUGGUCCAUCCAUCAUAAAGGCAAUCCCGCACCCAAAGUAUCCUGCAUUUGGUCCGAGAAGGGUUGCAUACCAAAUGGUGUGAUGUAUGCAACCUACCCUAAGGUAUGUAUAAGUGGUUGAUUCCAUACCUCAAGCAUGUUGGUUAUAGGUCACAUAGAGAUAAUUUUAUUGUUUCUUCAAUGCUCCCCUGCAAUUGGUCCAUCCAUCAUCCGAAUCAAUUUCUGAUGGUUUCUAUAAAAAAUUCAUACAAAAUCACAAAUGAAAUGACACAUCAUAGAUGGGACAUUCCUGUUCAGUCUUAGGUUCUACACAACGAACACAUGAAACACAACCAUCUUGAUCUUGGCUUUGCAACUAAGAACUCGCUAUCAUGUUAGGUAAAGGGGCUAUUAGUUUCAGCUUGAUCAAGGAAAACCCAGCUCAACGCUACUGUAAAUUAGAAGUAAUAACAAGAAACAAACGAACAAGUUAAAAUAGGAGGGUUGUUAUGUCAAAAAGUAAUACAAGAGAAUAACAACGUAACCAAAUUUAACGUGAAAAACCUCUUCAAAGCAAAAAGUAAAAACCAUAGAACAUCCAAUUCAUUAAAAUCUCCAUUUUCUCGAAAGAGAGUUAUACAAGUCCUCUAAAAUGGUCAUAACACUAGCGACAAAUAAGGAAAAAUGAUAUACAACAAACAAGCGAAGAAUGAAACAGAAAUACUCACCCAACACGAGCUACAGUUUGUUGCUCAAUAUAUGUAGCUAAAAAUCUCGAAGCACGAUCUCCGUUGUUUAGAUUGGAGAACAAGAUGUUACCAGGGCUGGCCGAAGGAUAAGGUUUAAAGCCAUUGCUUUAGGCCCCCAAUCUUGGAAGGCCCCUUUUUUUUCUCCUAUUAUUUAU
Molecule: long non-coding RNA, 15026 nt
Filed under: Nicotiana tabacum (common tobacco)
Lineage: Eukaryota; Viridiplantae; Streptophyta; Magnoliopsida; Solanales; Solanaceae
Description: long non-coding RNA (NTAB_LNC009004)
Source: RNAcentral